AUGACGUCUUGUCAUAUUAUAACCUUGCACCGGCUCUGAAUCGUCUUCUAGGGCGCUGAAUGGUGUUCUGUUUUCGUUGAUCGCAUGGAAAAGGCCCUAUUUAAACUCUGCGGGUUCAUGUUUGGAAGAAAAACUAAAGUAGAACACUUUGGUUCUUGCGGUGUUUGGUUUGGUCCUAUAUAAAGAUAGAAGAAACAAGUUGGGAAUGUUGGUCCUGUGAACAACUAAAAAUUAGUUGGAGUGUUUCAGAUUGCUCUGGAGUCACCAUGGUGCAUUCUUGUUUUAUUGCUGUUUUCUGAGGUGGAAAUCUGCUUGAAGCAAAGUAUUUCUUAUCUUUACGGAAUCUUUCAUAAACAUAAAACAUGAAGAAAAAAUAAUAUUUUGAGCAAAAAAUUUGACAAUGUAUAUAAAUAUGGAUCAUAUGAGAAA
This is a long non-coding RNA of Prunus dulcis (almond), 429 nucleotides long. RefSeq lists it as uncharacterized. Lineage: Eukaryota; Viridiplantae; Streptophyta; Magnoliopsida; Rosales; Rosaceae. The record is from RefSeq and is a predicted model, not a curated record. The transcript is spliced from 3 exons.